Zalophus californianus (California sea lion) is the source of this 496-nucleotide long non-coding RNA. RefSeq lists it as uncharacterized. NCBI's taxonomy places the organism in Eukaryota, Metazoa, Chordata, Mammalia, Carnivora, Otariidae. The transcript has 4 exons. The record is from RefSeq and is a predicted model, not a curated record.
UGGAGAGGGGCGCGGGGGCGCGGCGGGGAGUUUGCCUGCACCUCUUUGCUGGUGCGAGCUGGCGGGGGAGUGAGGUCCUGGAAGCGGGGGCUCAAGCUGGGCUGAAGCGGAUAAGGCAGCGGGGCAGCGUGGCGAAAGGAGGGACACAAAAUUCAUAACUCUCCUAGUCUUUCCUUAAACCCUUAUUGUCAGGAAAAUUAAACUUUCAAAGAUGCCAGCAACCUGAAGACCCAAGGCUUUGCUGUUGGCAGAAUUCUUCCUUUUCCUGAAAGCUUAUCAUCAGAACUCCAGUGAUUACCUAAUGGAUUUGAUACAUGAGGAAGACCACACGGAAAAGCAUACUUGGAGGCGGUGGAGGGAUCAUCAGUUGCCCACUUUUGCUGAGAUACCGUAUUAGUUAAGGUGGUUGCUCCUAACCUUUGCGAUAAAGACAACCCAAUACCAACAACAAUCAACCAACCAAGUAAAUAAAAAGAAAUCUGUACUUCUGUGGCUU